AAUGAACGCUGGCGGCGUGCUUAACACAUGCAAGUCGCACGAGAAAGCCUUGGCUUGCCAGGGCGAGUAAAGUGGCGCACGGGUGAGUAACGCGUGGGUAAUCUACCCCUGAAUUUGGGAUAACAGCUCGAAAGGGCUGCUAAUACCGGAUAACAUCAUAGUUUCUUCGGCGAUUAUGAUCAAAGGUGGCCUCUACAUGUAAGCUACUGUUUGGGGAUGAGCUCGCGUACCAUUAGCUUGUUGGUAGGGUAACGGCCUACCAAGGCUACGAUGGUUAGCUGGUCUGAGAGGAUGAUCAGCCACACUGGAACUGACACACGGUCCAGACUCCUACGGGAGGCAGCAGUGAGGAAUUUUGCGCAAUGGGGGAAACCCUGACGCAGCAACGCCGCGUGAGUGAUGAAGGCCUUCGGGUCGUAAAACUCUGU
RNAcentral lists this ribosomal RNA (428 nucleotides) under uncultured bacterium. RNAcentral describes it as "bacterial SSU rRNA". It matches the Rfam family "Bacterial small subunit ribosomal RNA", at positions 29 to 436 of the family's 1533-position model. The record is from RNAcentral.